Molecule: ribosomal RNA, 253 nt
Filed under: uncultured bacterium
Lineage: Bacteria
Description: partial 16S ribosomal RNA
Rfam family: Bacterial small subunit ribosomal RNA
Source: RNAcentral
AACGUAGGGGGCAAGCGUUGCCCGGAUUCACUGGGCGUAAAGCGGGUGUAGGCGGUUCAUUAAGUCGGACGUGAAAUCCCACGGCUCAACCGUGGAACUGCAUCCGAUACUGGUGAACUUGAGGACGGUAGAGGUCGGUGGAAUUCCCGGUGUACCGGUGAAAUGGGCAGAUAUCGGGAGGAACACCAGUGGCGAAGGCGGCCGACUGGGCCGAUCCUGACGCUGAGACCCGAAAGCUAGGGUAGCGAACCGG